AUCUAAUGUAGCAUCUUUUUCACAAUUCCUAUCAACUAUAGCAAUUAUCAUAAUUCGUGACAACCAUACUAUGGGAGUUCAGAUCUUCUUUCUUCUUUUAAAAGGAAACGAGGAGUGGAUUAGGAAUCAAACCCUCACCAAUUAUGUGAAAGUUUAGAGUCAACAACUAAUCUGCUAAGAUUCUCACGGGAGUUCAAUUCAAUUCUUCUUUUGUCUUUUUUUUCAAGCAAAGG
This 233-nucleotide unclassified non-coding RNA is filed under the name Hevea brasiliensis (rubber tree). The record is from RNAcentral. Lineage: Eukaryota; Viridiplantae; Streptophyta; Magnoliopsida; Malpighiales; Euphorbiaceae.